RNA transcript from Acanthopagrus latus (yellowfin seabream), 1966 nucleotides. It is a transcript of the gene named methyl-CpG binding domain protein 2, with no coding region annotated. The record is from RefSeq and is a predicted model, not a curated record. NCBI's taxonomy places the organism in Eukaryota, Metazoa, Chordata, Actinopteri, Spariformes, Sparidae. The transcript has 8 exons.
UCCUCUCCAGAGGUAAACUGAACCUAAUCCAGAUUUGAGGGUCAUCCCACCUCACAGUCUUAAUCGGGACACUUUUUAAAUUCUUCUUUAACAGGAAAUAUCCAGCAUAAACAGCCGGGGCGUGGGGAGGGAGGGGGGGAGGAAGAGGCGCCGUUAACGUAACGUCCGUGACGUCAGUCCGCCCGGGCUGCUGCUCCGCUGGGUUUACUACCACACUGUUGUAAGGACGGUCCUCAUCGGUGUUUACCGAGGAAUCGAUCAACUCGAUCGCAGCUUAAUCGCGGACCGAUAAGUGUGUGAUGAUGGAGAGGAAGAGGACAGACUGUCCCGCUCUGCCGCCCGGCUGGAAGAAAGAAGAAGUGAUCAGGAAGUCCGGACUGAGCGCUGGAAAAAGCGACGUCUACUACUACAGUCCUUCAGGGAAGAAAUUCAGGAGUAAGCCUCAGUUGUCCCGUUACCUUGGAAACACAGUGGAUUUGGGAUGUUUCGACUUCCGAACGGGGAAGAUGAUGCCUGGGAAAAUGCAGAAGAACAAACAGAGACUUCGACACGACCCGCUCAGCUUGGCCAAGGGAGGUAAGCCGGACCUGAACACAGUUCUGCCAAUCAGACAGACAGCAUCCAUCUUUAAACAGCCCGUUACCAAGAUUACGAGUCAUCCUGGUAAUAAGGUGAAGACAGACCCGCAGAGAGGGACCGAGCAGCCCAAACAGCUGUUUUGGGAGAGAAGGUUGAAAGGUCUGCGGUCAUCAGACGUUACAGAAGAAGUUCUGCGGACCAUUGACCUACCCAAGGGACUGCAGAGUGUCGGUCCAGACUCCAGUGAUGAGACUCUGCUCCUGGCUAUUGCAAGCGCUCUGCACAUGAGCUCUUCUCCAAUAACCGGUCAGACAUCUGUAGCUGCUGAGAAGAACCCGACCAUCUGGCUGAACACUGCCCAGCCUCUCUGCAAGGCAUUCACCAUCACUGACGAACACAUCCGAGAACAGGAGUUGAAAGUAUACCAGGCCAGGAGGAGUCUGGAGGAGGCUCUGAUGGCUGAUGGUUUGGCACGGACCGCCGAAAAUACUCGAGAGCUGCUGGAGGGGAAGGCGGCCUGAACAUGGAAAGCUGUGCCCCAGCCACGCUCAUCUCUACAUACCUUCACCGCCCGAAUUAUGCUGUGGCUCUGUCAUCCCUGUGUGGUAGCCCGCCGAGACCGAUUUGGUGCCAGUAUAGCCCUCUUCCAAGUCCCUGUGUUCAUCAGCCUCAGGUUCAUAAUCAUCUUAAUCUUAAUCCAGACAACAAACCAAAAACAGACCACCAGGAGACUGAAGACUCAGUGGGUGUUUCAACCUUCCUGUUGAGGAAACCAUUUUCAGGAUGACAUCAUACUGGACACAACUAUCAGCAUUUGGAAACUAAACUGAUUUUCCAAAGCAAUGGCAGCAACAACAUGAGUGACCACAGCAAUAAUAGCAACAACAGCAACAACUGACGUAUGACAACAAACAGCGACAGAAACUGCAACAGUAACAACAUUGGGAGCAACAGCAGCAAUACUUCAACUAUCUACCAGCUUAAAGCAACAGCCGAAGCCUUGAAACCUUUCUCUGAUUUUUCACCUGUACAAACUUUACAACAAGCGCUUAUCUUGUUUCACUUCUGUUUUUAAUUUAAAGUUAUAUGAAAUAACAAUAAAAAAAACUGAAAGGCAACACCCUCAUCGAAGCCAAAGUCAGGUUGCAAACUGCUGGACAGCUUUUGAUAACUACUAACUCUUAUUGAGCUCUUUGAUGAUUUUGGUUGUUUGUGGUGAUGGAUUGUCGUCACUUUUAAAAAAGUCUAUAUGGAUUUUCAUGAAAUUAUAAGAAUUUACAUGAGUAUGAAAAAGAACAAUUGCUUAUUUAAGAAGAAUUUUAUACCUUGAUAGACCCUGUGUUUACAUUUCUUGGACUGGAGUCAAUAAAUGAUUAUAUUCACAAUU